RNAcentral lists this transfer RNA (76 nucleotides) under Alphaproteobacteria bacterium. RNAcentral describes it as "tRNA-Ala". It matches the Rfam family "tRNA". From Rfam's summary of the family: Transfer RNA (tRNA) molecules are approximately 80 nucleotides in length. Lineage: Bacteria; Pseudomonadati; Pseudomonadota; Alphaproteobacteria. The record is from RNAcentral. RNAcentral also lists the same sequence under 2 other names.
GGGGCCGUAGCUCAGGUGGGAGAGCGCCUGCUUUGCAAGCAGGAGGUCGUCGGUUCGAUCCCGUCCGGCUCCACCA